This 748-nucleotide small RNA is filed under the name Pongo abelii (Sumatran orangutan). Its description in RNAcentral is "processed transcript". Lineage: Eukaryota; Metazoa; Chordata; Mammalia; Primates; Hominidae. The record is from RNAcentral.
AAUCCUGCGGGAGCUUGGGUGAAGGGAGGAAAGAGCAGAGAAUCGCCAAGAAAUCAGGGUGCUCAGCCAUCUGCAGGGAAGUCCCACCUGGCCAUCGUGCAGAAGGUAAACAACGAGGGUGAGGGUGACCCCUUCUACGAGGUCCUGGGCCUGGUCACCCUGGAGGACGUGAUCGAGGAGAUCAUCAAGUCGGAGAUCCUGGACGAGUCCGACAUGUACACUGACAACCGAAGCCGGAAGCGGGUGUCUGAGAAGAACAAGCGUGACUUCUCUGCCUUCAAGGAUGCGGACAAUGAGCUCAAAGUGAAAAUCUCCCCGCAGCUCCUCCUGGCCGCUCAUCGCUUCCUAGCCACGGAGGUCCCCCAGUUUAGCCCCUCCCUGAUAUCAGAGAAGAUCCUGCUGCGGCUACUCAAGUACCCAGAUGUCAUUCAGGAACUCAAGUUUGACGAGCACAAUAAGUACUACGCCCGCCAUUACCUGUACACCCGAAAUAAGCCGGCCGACUACUUCAUCCUCAUCCUGCAGGGGAAGGUGGAGGUGGAGGCAGGGAAGGAGAACAUGAAGUUUGAGACGGGCGCCUUCUCCUACUAUGGGACUAUGGCCCUGACCUCGGUCCCCUCCGACCGUUCCCCAGCCCACCCCACCCCACUCAGCCGCUCAGCCUCCCUCAGUUACCCAGACCGCACAGACGUCUCGACUGCAUCAACCUUGGCAGGCAGCAGCAACCAGUUCGGCAGCUCUGUCCUGG